GUAUUUGAAAUUAAAUCUCUGCAUUAAAAUCUGCAUUGCUGAGCCUCCCGCUGGCAGCCACCGUUCUUCGGAAAACUGACAUCUUCCCUGGCACUGAUGGGGCAGGAGUUCUCGUGUGGAUAUUACCAAUUUCCUACCACUCUUCGAGUAUCGGGACUUUAUGGCAAUAUAUAACUAAGAAGUACAAAGGCUGCGAGGUGUGUGAGGAAUACAGGAGGGGGCCACCUCGGGUUUAGUAAGGAUAGAUGUUUUUGUCUUGACACACAAGGGUGGAAACCAUUUUACAAACCUCUAUUAAAGCAGCAUAUUGCUGAUGUCACAAAUUAUGUCAUUUUUCAGCAAGCUGUUAGGUAGCAGCAGGAUACUUAGAGGUCCCAAUCUGAGUUCACAGCUUGAGGCCUCAUCAUCCAUUGAAGUCAAGAAAAUACUCCAGUCCCCUGGCCCUCUGUUUACAAAUAAUAUAUCAAGAAUCAGGAUGCCCACAAAUGAACUUUCAGGCACUGAGCUAAAGGAAAUGCAUCUCUGUGUAUUUUUUUUAAUAUAUAUGCAUGUGUACAUGUUACACAUUUGUCCAUAUGUGUGUUUAUGUGCAUUUGUGUGUAGUACAAUUGAAUUCCACAGUUUGCCAUUAGAUUUUUUUAAACAAGCAUUGUUUUUAUUCCUUGAAAUACAGACCUGAUUCUUCAUGACUAAUUUUGCACACAGAAUCCCCACCAAAGCUGGAGAUAUCCACAUAGAAAAGGGGCAUAAAGUGCUCCCAUUCAUUUCUCCUUCUUAAAAUAGUGAGGGGGUUUGUUUUAAUACCUGGUACUUCUAUAAUAUAAAAGAGCUCUGUUUAAUAAGAUACACAUAAAAACAGAUUUAUCUAUAACAGAGUUGAGUACAAAAUAAAAUAACAGGAAUGUCUAUGCACAUAUUCACUGGUACAGCAGAAUAGCUUGUUAGAGGCUCUCGGCAUCUCCUGGAUGAACCAUAUUUACACAUAUAUGUGUAUUUUCCCCCACUAGAGUGGAAUAAGCUAUCAUGUUUUUCUAACAACGCACAUAUACCUGGAAGACGACGGCCUACAUUAGAAGACAUAAAAUACAUAGCAUGUGGCCUGAGGUUGUGAAACAACCCAAGAGAAGGAAUUAAAUUCAAAGCUAACGGUGCCAAACUCAUCAGUGAGUGUUUUUACCCCCCUGUGUAUUAGUGGGAGCCAAAGAUGAGUGUCAAGGCACAGCUUUGAAUUCCCUGACUUUUGCCAGUGUUAACAUCACUCCCUUAACAGAAUGAGGGUAUUGGCAGGGAUUUGGAUUAGAUGGCCAAGCAAGGCAUUUGUAUUCCCACACUCACUCCCUAAACUGAUUCCAGUAUUUUGCUACUCAUUUACUGACAUGGUUGGCUGUAACUUCCUCUACUGCAAAUGGUAUUACAGGGCUGGAUUAGCUUCUCCUCUAUAGCAUAUCCCUGAUGUAGUUGCCACUGCAACUCUCCCCCACUAUCUGUACAAUAAAUGCCAUUGCUUACAGAAACAUGAUUACAGGAUUAGAGUUAUUGGGCCUUCACCCAGACAAACACAGUGACAUAGCAUAGCACUGGCACCUCUGAAAGCUGCACUGACCUCAGGCAUCUCUACAUCAAAGGCCACGGCCACAAUCUGAGCUUCAUUAGCUUUCAAGCCUGAAGUUACAGGAGCACUACUUCCUCAGCCGCUAAUGGGAAACACUCUCCUCCAUUUGCUGUUGAGGUGUUAAAAGUUCCUCUUAACAUCAGUUACUGAGCUACAGCUUCACUGGUAUCCCAGUAAAAUAAAAAUGACUUGUGGUGUGGGAGCUGAGUUCAAAUCAAAAUGCUGUGUUGGACAUCCCUUAUUCAAGAAAAUAGCAGACACUGGUGCAGGGGUGCUUUGGAAGUGAGGACUACAGGGGGAGGCGCAAUCCCAAAUCCCAGACUUGGAGCUAUAGGAAAAUUCCUGCAGCUCCUGAAGGGUUUCAUAUGGUUGUAACUGACUGUUUAACGACUUAGGUAUCUGAAGGAUGCUCUGGUUUUCAUUUGUAGGAUGUGAUGCAGAUGAUGAUGCAGAGAGGGAGAGCUUGGAGCUGGCUGCGGUUCAGAGCGCGUGCACCAUCGGGUCUGCACUCACUGUGAGAAACCUGUGAAUUGUGCUGAGAACUCUUCCAAGCCCCCCCCCUUGCUGAUCUGCACCUACAAGGAGGAGACUCAGGUGCCAGCAUUUAAUCCCACAGAGAGACAAGCUAGUCAGAGAAAGAGCCACAAGGUGGCAAAGCACUAGAACAGCUGUAGUUCAGGAGGAAUAAUGGCCACCAAGCCAAGAAUCCUGUCUCCAAGGGUGCAUGUGCUUGAUGCCUAAUGAAAAGGAUAAGGGCAUGCACUGACACUUCCAAUGCACCUCUACAGCCCGCUCACCUCCUCCGUCUGUAAGGGGCAGUGAGAUGCCUCAGCUCAUUGCACCACCUCAGACGCUGCACCAGCAGCCAUCUUUAUUUUCCUUCCACGCCUGUUGUCAUUUGCCUCCUGAGCCUAAUGGAAACCUGCCCUGGAUGGUAUCCAGCAUCAAUCCUGCUCUGAACCCCUUCAAUGUCAGGAGGAGCAUGAACAUUUCCUACCUCAUUACUGCCUUUCAAAAACAGCCACAACCACAAAAACAAGACCUUGGGGAAGAAGACAGGAGAGGAGAAAAUCUCUGCAUGCACAAGCAGAGCCCCACCUGCCAGUUAU
Long non-coding RNA from Pezoporus occidentalis (night parrot), 2721 nucleotides. RefSeq lists it as uncharacterized. The transcript is spliced from 4 exons. NCBI's taxonomy places the organism in Eukaryota, Metazoa, Chordata, Aves, Psittaciformes, Psittacidae. The record is from RefSeq and is a predicted model, not a curated record.